GAGAGUGGCGAACGGGUGAGUAACACGUAGGUGACCUGCCUCGAAGAUGGGGAUAACUGUUGGAAACGGCAGCUAAUACCCAAUGCACUCGAUAAUUCGGUUUAUCGAGUAAAGCGCCCCUCACGGGGAUAGCGCUUCGAGAUGGGCCUGCGGCCUAUCAGCUAGUUGGUAGGGUAAUGGCCCACCAAGGCGAGGACGGGUAGGGGGCGUGAGAGCGUGACCCCCCACACUGGCACUGAGACACGGGCCAGACUCCUACAGGAGGCAGCAGUCGGGGAUAUUGCGCAAUGGACGAAAGUCUGACGCAGCGACGCCGCGUGAGUGAUGAAGGCCUUCGGGUUGUAAAACUCUUUUAUGGGGGAAGAGGAAGGACGGUACCCCAUGAAUAAGCGUCGGCUAACUACGUGCCAGCAGCCGCGGUAAAACGUAGGACGCAAGCGUUAUCCGGAUUUACUGGGCGUAAAGAGCGUUGAGGCGGUUCUGUAAGUUGGGCGUGAAAGCCCUCGGCUUAACUGAGGGACGCCGUCCAAUACUGCAGGACUUGAGGGCAGCAGAGGGAGGUGGAAUUCCCGGUGUAGCGGUGAAAUGCAUAGAGAUCGGGAGGAACACCAGUGGCGAAGGCGGCCUCCUGGGCUGCUUCUGACGCUGAAUGCGAAAGCUAGGGUAGCGAACGGGAUUAGAAACCCCGGUAGUCCUAGCUGUAAACGAUGGAUGCUAGGUGUAGGAGGUAUAGAUCCCUUCUGUGCCGAAGCUAACGCGAUAAGCGUCCCGCCUGGGGACUACGGCCGCAAGGCUAAAACUCAAACGAAUUGACGGGGGCCCGCACAAGCAGCGGAGCGUGUGGUUUAAUUCGAUGCUACACGAAGAACCUUACCUGGGUUUGACAUGUAGGUAGUAGUGAAGCGAAAGCGGAACGACCCUUCGGGGAGCCUACACAGGUGCUGCAUGGCUGUCGUCAGCUCGUGCCGUGAGGUGUCGGGUUAAGUCCCGUAACGAGCGCAACCCCUGUCCUUAGUUACAAGUGUCUAAGGAGACUGCCGGCGACAAGCCGGAGGAAGGUGGGGAUGACGUCAAGUCAG
RNAcentral lists this ribosomal RNA (1079 nucleotides) under uncultured organism. RNAcentral's name for it is "bacterial SSU rRNA". It matches the Rfam family "Bacterial small subunit ribosomal RNA", at positions 91 to 1193 of the family's 1533-position model. The record is from RNAcentral.